RNAcentral lists this ribosomal RNA (253 nucleotides) under uncultured bacterium. Its description in RNAcentral is "partial 16S ribosomal RNA". It matches the Rfam family "Bacterial small subunit ribosomal RNA", at positions 524 to 776 of the family's 1533-position model. The record is from RNAcentral.
UACGAAGGGGGCUAGCGUUGCUCGGAAUCACUGGGCGUAAAGGGCGCGUAGGCGGAUGAUUAAGUCGGAGGUGAAAGCCCAGGGCUCAACCCUGGAAUUGCCUUCGAUACUGAUUGUCUCGAGAGCGGAAGAGGUUAGUGGAACUCCGAGUGUAGAGGUGAAAUUCGUAGAUAUUCGGAAGAACACCAGUGGCGAAGGCGACUGACUGGUCCGUUUCUGACGCUGAGGCGCGAAAGCGUGGGGAUCAAACAGG